AAUAAGUAGCGAGAAUUAAGUGAGAAUCUUAAUGGCCGAAAGUCUAAGGUUUUUGGAGGAAGGUUCGUCCGCUCCAAGUAAGUCGGGAGCUAAGGUCAGGCCGAAAGGCGUAGCCGAUGCACAAACGGUUGAUAUUCCGUUACCGUCUACAAUUUAAACAAAGGGACACAUACAAAGCGUUUAACCCGGGCGAUGGUUGACCCGGGCGCAAGGGACUGAAAUUAGAGUAGGGAAGUAAAUGUAGCGUAUGGCGAGAAAAGCUUUGUGUAUAGAAGUAGACGCCCGUACCGCAAACCGACACAGGUGGACAGGAAGAGAAUUCUAAGGCCAGCGGGAGAAGGGUAGUUAAGGAACUCGGCAAAUUGACUCCGUAACUUCGGAAUAAGGAGUGCUCGAAAGAGCCGCAGAGAAUAGGCCCAGGCGACUGUUUAGCAAAAACACAGGUCUCUGCCAAAUCGAAAGAUGAAGUAUAGGGGCUGACACCUGCCCGGUGCCGGAAGGUUAAGAGGAGGAGUGCAAGCUCCGAAUUGAAGCCCCGGUAAACGGCGGCCGUAACUAUAACGGUCCUAAGGUAGCGAAAUUCCUUGUCGGGUAAGUUCCGACCCGCACGAAUGGUGUAACGAUCUGGGCACUGUCUCAACUACCCACCCGGCGAAAUUGUAGUACCGGUGAAGAUGCCGGUUACCUGCGGCAAGACGGAAAGACCCCAUGGAGCUUUACUGUAGCCUGAUAUUGGGUUUCGGAAAUCUAUGUACAGGAUAGGCGGGAGACUGGGAAGUAUGAGCGUCAGCUUAUACGGAGUCAUUGUUGGGAUACCGCCCUUAGGUUUCUGGAAUUCUAACCUGCGACCGUGAAUCCGGUCGGGGGACAUUGUCAGGUGGGCAGUUUGACUGGGGCGGUCGCCUCCGAAAAGGUAACGGAGGCGCUCAAAGGUUGGCUCAGCACGGACGGAAACCGUGCCUCAGAGUGUAAACGCAAAAGCCAGCCUAACUGCGAGGAUGACGGUCCGAGCAGUAACGAAAGUUGGAGUUAGUGAUCCGGCGGUAUGUGAAUGGAAAUGCCGUCGCUCAACGGAUAAAAGCUACCCUGGGGAUAACAGGCUGAUCUCCCCCAA
Molecule: ribosomal RNA, 1114 nt
Filed under: human gut metagenome
Description: bacterial LSU rRNA
Rfam family: Bacterial large subunit ribosomal RNA
Source: RNAcentral